RNAcentral lists this ribosomal RNA (459 nucleotides) under Triticum aestivum (bread wheat). RNAcentral's name for it is "partial small subunit ribosomal RNA". The record is from RNAcentral. Lineage: Eukaryota; Viridiplantae; Streptophyta; Magnoliopsida; Poales; Poaceae.
AUGGACACAAACCCCUCAGUGACAUGCUGGAACAUUCGAGGCUUGAACAAUCCGGCUAAAAGAAGAGCGGUGAAGGAGUUUUUAGACUCGGUUAAUCCAAGCAUAGUAUGUUUGCAAGAGACUAAACUUGCAGUUGUAAACGCUUUUCUGUUAUUACAAUGUUGUGGUCCGUCUUUGAACGGCUUUUCCUACUUGCCGGCGGAGGAGAUGAGAGGUGGCAUUAUCUUAGCCUGGGACACCACAGUUUUGCAUAUCGACCAUGUACAGAGGGACGCCAACUCCAUCACAGGAUUGGCUCGCCCAAAGGUUGGAGAUGAAUGGUGGAUCACGGUGGUCUACGGACCACAAGUAGACGAGCUCAAAACUCCGUUCCUUGCAGACUUGGAAGCUAGGAGAACAUUGUGCCAGGGGCCUUGGAUGGUCCUUGGCGACUUCAACAUGAUCUUGCGUGCCUCGUAG